UGGGGAAUAUUGCACAAUGGGCGCAAGCCUGAUGCAGCGACGCCGCGUGAGGGAUGACGGCCUUCGGGUUGUAAACCUCUUUCAGCACCGACGAAGCGAAAGUGACGGUAGGUGCAGAAGAAGGACCGGCCAACUACGUGCCAGCAGCCGCGGUAAUACGUAGGGUCCGAGCGUUGUCCGGAAUUACUGGGCGUAAAGAGCUCGUAGGUGGUUUGUCGCGUUGUUCGUGAAAACCCACAACUCAAUUGUGGGCGUGCGGGCGAUACGGGCAGACUGGAGUACUGCAGGGGAGACUGGAAUUCCUGGUGUAGCGGUGGAAUGCGCAGAUAUCAGGAGGAACACCGGUGGCGAAGGCAGCCACCUGGACAGUAACUGACGCUGAGGAGCGAAAGCGUGGGGAGCAAACAGG
RNAcentral lists this ribosomal RNA (409 nucleotides) under uncultured bacterium. Its description in RNAcentral is "bacterial SSU rRNA". It matches the Rfam family "Bacterial small subunit ribosomal RNA", at positions 355 to 776 of the family's 1533-position model. The record is from RNAcentral.